Molecule: small nuclear RNA, 86 nt
Filed under: Capra hircus (goat)
Lineage: Eukaryota; Metazoa; Chordata; Mammalia; Artiodactyla; Bovidae
Description: U4 spliceosomal RNA (ENSCHIG00000002888.1)
Source: RNAcentral
AGCUUUGCACAGUGACAGUAUUGUAGCCAAUUAAAUUUAUCCAAAGUGUGAUCGUUGCUAAUUGAAAACUUUUCCCAAUAUCCUGC